CUGUAGCUCAUUGGUUAGAGCGCACCCCUGAUAGGGUGAGGUCGGCAGUUCGAAUCUGCCCAGACCCACCAAUUGUUGGUGUGCUGCGUGAUCCGAUACGGGGCCAUAGCUCACUGGGAGAGCGCCUGCUUUGCACGCAGGAGGUCAGGAUUUCGAUCCUCCUUGGCUCCACCAUCUAAACAAUCGUCGAAAGCUCAUAAAUGAAUGUUCGUGAAUGAACAUUGAUUCUGGUCUUUGCACCAAACUGUUCUUUAAAAAUUCGGGUAUGUGAUAGAAGUAAGACUGAAUGAUCUCUUUCACUGGUGAUCAUUCAAGUCAAGGUAAAAUUUGCGAGUUCAAGCGCGAAUUUUCGGCGAAUGUCGUCUUCACAGUAUAACCAGAUUGCU
This 386-nucleotide transfer RNA is filed under the name Pseudomonas fluorescens. Its description in RNAcentral is "partial 16S-23S ribosomal RNA intergenic spacer". The stretch from base 100 to 171 matches the Rfam family "tRNA". Lineage: Bacteria; Pseudomonadati; Pseudomonadota; Gammaproteobacteria; Pseudomonadales; Pseudomonadaceae. The record is from RNAcentral.